UGUUGUUAAAUUAUGUUCUUAACUGUAACCUUUUGUUGUUGUUGUUUUUAAUUUAUCUCUUUAAUCUUUUUUUUAUUAGUAAAAGCAAGUCUCUUUGAAUUCUUCAUUCUAGAUUUGUACAAAUGCUUUUUUUGUCCGUCCUCGUGGGGUUUUUUUUCUCCCCCUUUUCUUUGUUGUUUUCGUUGUUGUUGAUAACAAACUGGAAACCUGUCUCUCUCUGUUUGUGGACAAAUGAGAGGUUUCAGAUGCAGUGAGGAGCACUGAGUCCUUUGCAAUGUUUUCAGCCAUAGACCUUUGGGUCUGCCUGGACUGUAUGUGGAUGUGUGCGUGUGUUGUGACACGGGACAACACAUGCCUCUGCAAGUGUGUGUGCCGUGGAUAGCCCCUUGGCUGCUCUCCUGCAGAGAGACAUCGGACAGACCUUAAUUCUUACUCACUGCUGUGGCUGGAGAGUAUAAGGAAUGCUUUUUCUUUUUUUCUUUCUUUCUUUCUUUUUUUUUUUUAAGACAGCAGUCUUUUUUUUUAAUUUAAAAAAAAAAAGAUAUAUUAACAGUUUUAGAAGUCAGUAGAAUAAAACCUUAAAGCGUUCUUAUAAUAUGGCAUCUUUCGAUUUCUGUAUAAAAACAGACCUUUUAAAAAAUAUUUCUGUAACUUAAGAAACCUGACAUUUAUGUCAUAUUUUCUCUUUAGGUAAGAUUUGGUUUGUUUGUGUCUUGUUUGUUUCCCUCUCCAAAUUCUUCCUUCUUUGUGCACCCUGCCUUUCUUCCCUUCCAUCCUUUCUUUUUUGUAUAUUAUUGUUUACAAUAAAUAUACAUUGCAUUAAAGU
RNAcentral lists this long non-coding RNA (826 nucleotides) under Mus musculus (house mouse). RNAcentral's name for it is "long non-coding RNA chr11:112786924-112787750". Lineage: Eukaryota; Metazoa; Chordata; Mammalia; Rodentia; Muridae. The record is from RNAcentral.